GGGAAAUUUUGGACAAUGGGCGCAAGCCUGAUCCAGCAAUGCCGCGUGAGUGAAGAAGGCCUUCGGGUUGUAAAGCUCUUUUGUCAGGGAAGAAACGGUGCGCACUAAUAUUCUGCGCUAAUGACGGUACCUGAAGAAUAAGCACCGGCUAACUACGUGCCAGCAGCCGCGGUAAUACGUAGGGUGCAAGCGUUAAUCGGAAUUACUGGGCGUAAAGCGUGCGCAGGCGGUUUUGUAAGUCUGUCGUGAAAGCCCCGGGCUCAACCUGGGAAUUGCGAUGGAGACUGCAAGGCUUGAAUCUGGCAGAGGGAGGUAGAAUUCCACGUGUAGCAGUAAAAUGCGUAGAGAUGUGGAGGAACACCGAUGGCGAAGGCAGCCCCCUGGGUCAAGAUUGACGCUCAUGCACGAAAGCGUGGGGAGCAAA
This 424-nucleotide ribosomal RNA is filed under the name uncultured bacterium. Its description in RNAcentral is "bacterial SSU rRNA". It matches the Rfam family "Bacterial small subunit ribosomal RNA", at positions 356 to 772 of the family's 1533-position model. The record is from RNAcentral.